GCUCAUUAAACAUCUCAAAUUGAAGAUCCCACAGGGAAUGCAAUACCUCUCUCUUUAUCAAAUCCUUCAUCUAAAAAUGAUAAAAUAAGGAUCGUUCAGAGGAGCUCCAUACUUCACUCCAAGGGAAUAAACCUGGCCUUGGAAAAGCAGGCAUUCAACCCAUAAAAGGAAUCAUCUCAGAAGCAGGUACAUUUUCAACCAGCGUAUUAGCUUCAGAUCUGAAUUACAUGAGCCACAGUGUACAGAAGUCUUAUUAAAGAGAGAGAAACCAUGUCUUUCCUGUGAAAUGGAAGAGAUCACAGGCCAUUCUUUGGCUAUGAGAGUAAGUGACGAAACAAAAUGUGGUGGAAGCAUCUAUAAAUUCC
This 365-nucleotide long non-coding RNA is filed under the name Phasianus colchicus (ring-necked pheasant). RNAcentral's name for it is "lncRNA (ENSPCLG00000007795.1)". The record is from RNAcentral. Lineage: Eukaryota; Metazoa; Chordata; Aves; Galliformes; Phasianidae.